UGUAAAAUAUGAUGUUAAUGUUAUGACACGUUCAUUUCUACUGACAGCUUUACACCAUUAAACUAUCAGUCAGUCUGUAAAUGCUUCAUCAAUAACUGUUCAUAGUUGAAUCCCCUUGACUUCAGUCAUGUCCAGUUUCUCUUCUUCUUCUUCUUCCACACAUGUUUCCUGCAGUGAUUGUGAUGAUUGUUGAGAUGGCAGUGUUUGCUGCUCCUACUGUGAUUCUUCUUCAGAUCAUCUGUGCAAGAAGACCUGGGAGGAAGGACUCGCAGCACCCAGAGGAAAUAGAGAUGCCUACAAUAUUACAAUAAAAUACUGCUGAGUUUGGAGACCAUCUGAAACAAGAUUUAAAACAGCAGAAACUCACAGAGGAUUGUUCAUUGUUUGAUUUUCUUCUUCUCAGAAAACAGAGAAAAACUCCCUGAAGAAAUAGUGACACCAUCCAGUUUAGAUUCAAAUAUCUUUUACAAAUAAAAGGCCAGAUUUAUGUUCAUUUAUAUGGUUUGAUGGAUAUUUUCCUACAGUGUUGAAUGUCAUUUUCUUGUGCUUCAUAUAUAAACUGCAUUAAAUAUAAUAUUAAAUCCAGUAAUGGACAGACUGUUUGUAAAAUCCUCUCUCUGUUCUGUGUGAUGAAGAUGAUUUGCUGAUUCUCAUAUCUUAUCUUUUCAUUCCUGUUUUUAGCAUCUUUGUUCAUUUUGAAUGAUUUCUACUAAUUUUCUUAAUUAAACCUCUCUAAUUGUUUAA
This is a long non-coding RNA of Megalobrama amblycephala (Wuchang bream), 744 nucleotides long. RefSeq lists it as uncharacterized. The record is from RefSeq and is a predicted model, not a curated record. NCBI's taxonomy places the organism in Eukaryota, Metazoa, Chordata, Actinopteri, Cypriniformes, Xenocyprididae. The transcript has 2 exons.